Molecule: long non-coding RNA, 344 nt
Organism: Peromyscus maniculatus bairdii (prairie deer mouse)
Lineage: Eukaryota; Metazoa; Chordata; Mammalia; Rodentia; Cricetidae
Source: RefSeq, a predicted model, not a curated record
GAUGGCUGGGGACUGGGCCGUGGGGGUUGGGAGGGACACCUGCACCAUGGAGCUAGGCACCGGAUGGAAACUGAGGGCAGGCCCCUGGGCCCCACAAAGAGGGCCCUCGACCCAGUUUUGGUCAGAGUCAACGCUUCAGAAGAGAGGCCCGUGGCUAUUUCCACUGAAUCCAAGAGAAACCACCAGCCUUCAAUGCCACUCAGAGCGAGCAAUGGGGUUGAGCUGGUCCUUGUCGUAUUCCAAAGCAUCAGUCACCUCGUCGCUGUGGCAUUUUGUUCUGUAACUUCACCAACAUUGGUGUUUCCAUUGGUAAAAUGCAACAAAUGAGCAUCUUGCAGGGUUGC